RNAcentral lists this ribosomal RNA (426 nucleotides) under uncultured bacterium. RNAcentral describes it as "bacterial SSU rRNA". It matches the Rfam family "Bacterial small subunit ribosomal RNA", at positions 61 to 527 of the family's 1533-position model. The record is from RNAcentral.
GUCGUACGAGAGUUUUUAACUCAAGUGGCGGACGGGUGAGUAACACGUAAGAAUUUACCUUUAGGAGGGGGAUAACAACUGGAAACGGUUGCUAAUACCCCAUAUGCUUUCGAGUGAAAUGGUUUUUCCGCCUAAAGAGAAGCUUGCGGCUGAUUAGCUUGUUGGGGAGGUAAUGGCUCACCAAGGCGACGAUCAGUAUCUGGUUUGAGAGGACGAUCAGACACACUGGAACUGAGACACGGUCCAGACUCCUACGGGAGGCAGCAGUGGGGAAUUUUCCGCAAUGGGCGAAAGCCUGACGGAGCAAUACCGCGUGAGGGAUGACGGCCUAUGGGUUGUAAACCUCUUUUUUUCAGGGAGGAAUAAAUGACGUGUACCUGAGGAAUAAGCAUCGGCUAACUCCGUGCCAGCAGCCGCGGUAAUACG